AUCACUUCUCGGCCUUUUGGCUAAGAUCAAGUGUAGUAUCUGUUCUUAUCAGUUUAACUAAAGUACUUCUUACCUGUUAUGACCACUGAAAUUUUUAAAAAUGACUUUUAUUUUUUAGAAAAGUUUUAGAUUUAUCGAAACCCUGCAAGGUUUCCACAUGGGCCUCAGCCAGAUUCCCC
Molecule: small nuclear RNA, 179 nt
Organism: Ailuropoda melanoleuca (giant panda)
Lineage: Eukaryota; Metazoa; Chordata; Mammalia; Carnivora; Ursidae
Gene: U2
Rfam family: U2 spliceosomal RNA
About the family: U2 is a small nuclear RNA (snRNA) component of the spliceosome (involved in pre-mRNA splicing). Complementary binding between U2 snRNA (in an area lying towards the 5' end but 3' to hairpin I) and the branchpoint sequence (BPS) of the intron results the bulging out of an unpaired adenosine, on the BPS, which initiates a nucleophilic attack at the intronic 5' splice site, thus starting the first of two transesterification reactions that mediate splicing.
Source: Ensembl